CCCGCUGAACUUAAGCAUAUCAAUAAGCGGAGGAAAAGAAACCAACAGGGAUUGCCUUAGUAACGGCGAGUGAAGCGGCAACAGCUCAAAUUUGAAAUCUGGCUCUUUCAGGGUCCGAGUUGUAAUUUGUAGAAGAUGCUUCGGGUGUGGUACCGGUCUAAGUUCCUUGGAACAGGACGUCAUAGAGGGUGAGAAUCCCGUAUGUGACUGGUCACCUUCGCUCAUGUGAAGCUCUUUCGACGAGUCGAGUUGUUUGGGAAUGCAGCUCAAAAUGGGUGGUAAAUUUCAUCUAAAGCUAAAUAUUGGCCAGAGACCGAUAGCGCACAAGUAGAGUGAUCGAAAGAUGAAAAGCACUUUGGAAAGAGAGUUAAACAGUACGUGAAAUUGUUGAAAGGGAAGCGCUUGCAACCAGACUUGCACACUGCCGAUCAUCUGGGGUUCUCCCCAGUGCACUCGGUUGCGUUCAGGCCAGCAUCGGUUUGGGUGGUUGGAUAAAGACCUUGAAAAUGUAGCUUCUCUCGGGGAGUGUUAUAGUUCUCGGUGCAAUGCAGCCUACCCGGACCGAGGACCGCGCUUCGGCUAGGAUGCUGGCGUAAUGGUUGUAAGCGACCCGUCUUGAAACACGG
This 626-nucleotide ribosomal RNA is filed under the name uncultured fungus. RNAcentral describes it as "eukaryotic LSU rRNA". It matches the Rfam family "Eukaryotic large subunit ribosomal RNA", at positions 24 to 664 of the family's 3401-position model. The record is from RNAcentral. Lineage: Eukaryota; Fungi.